CGACCAAUGUCUCAAAUCGUUAUGCGCUCUUCGUCUCUUCCUCUCUAAGAUUGGUCAGAAUUGAUGGUGCAAAUAUGCAAUCCAGAAUGAACUAGGAUAGCUCGUCAGCCUCAAAAUAUCUCUGUCCCUUUCUGUAAAUGUCUGAAUCACGACAAGGUAUAUAAGUUUUUUUCGAUGCAAUUUUGUAUAUACAUGUAUCUAUUUGCGGUUACGUUGCUUUAAUUAGAUCUCGCCUUGAUUUUUCCAUUGAUUUUAUAUAUGAUCUGUAUUUUUCAUGUUAUUAUCAUCUGUCUCCUUUACAGAGCAUAGAAAUUCAAGCAUUUUUUCAUUUAUAUUUGUAUUUUAUUGAAUUUUCUUCAAAACCGAUCGCAUAGCGGAGUGGAUAUCGCGUUAGACUCCGGAUCAAAAGGUCGUGGGUUCGAAUACCACUGCGAUCGUAUCCUUCAGUUUUUUCCCUUUAAUUUUUCGUCUGUUUUCAACAUUUUCUCCCCCGCUUUUAAAGUGACAAAUGAAUUGAAAUUCCGUCAGUUUUUUGUACAUAGAUGAUAUGCUUACUGCAUUUAUAAUCCCAACACAUUCAGAAACUUGAGGCUAUAUUUGAACGCUCAGAUAACUUGUUGGAGUGCAAUUCAAUGCUAUGGAAUAGAUUGAAGUCUUUCUCAACGUGACAUUGUUUGUUAAUUUCUAAAAAUAAAACAGAAUUAGCCUUUCCUUAUUGAUUGAGUAAAUAUGGAAUACUACAUUAUCUCUCUCUCUCUCUCUCUCUCUCUCUCUCUUUUUAAUAGUUUGGUGGAACAUGUUUAGAGAAUGUUGUCUAUGAAAUUCUUGGGAGGUCUUGAAAUAUGAUAAAAAGGUACUGUGCAAUACCAUGGACAUUCUUUUAAUGAUUUUUGCAUAGUUAAAUAUGUUAGAUAAUGUUGUCUAUAAGAUUCUUGGUGGAAUUCUUGAAAAUAUUCAUGGAAAGUAUCUUAAUACAAUGAGAAACUCAGUUCACUAUUGUUGAAUUAAUAAGUGCUAGAGUACCAUUAGAAUUCUAUUCACGAUUGUUACAUAAUAUAGUGGAACACAUUUAGAUAAUGGUGUCCAUAAAAAUCUUGGAAGGUCUGAAGUGCUUGAUAAACUCAAUUUGCAAUUUUCAAAUUAAAACUGUUGUUAAUGAGUGCUAUAGAACAGUUAGAAUACCAGAGUUUUGCUGGUUGCUUGCACUUCUUACACAAACAAAAUAUUCAAGUUCACAUUAUUAUAUGCAAAUUAUGUAACUAUUAUCAUUUUUGCUCAUAUGAUUUCUGGCUGUAUUGAAAACGUUUGGACAGAACCUUAAAUUUUUAAAAAAAUGCUAGAUAAGGCUAGUGGUCGACCAAGGUUCAGUUUUUGCUUUGAAGUGUGGAAUCAGUGCUGUGUUUAGAGCCUUUAAAAGUAAUCAAGAAAUAUCACUUUUAGUCAUAAAUUAAAAGUUACCUGUUUUAUCUUUUGGUUUGGAGGCCUAAUUAUAGUGACAGUGUUGGGGACCCAUUUCGAUGCAUGUGCUUAGAAGGACUAACCUUCCUUUUUUUUUUUUUUUAUUUAUUUAUUUAUUUUUUUUAUGAUGUACAUAAUUUGCUUAUCCGUCGAGGCAAUGGAGUCCAAUAAAAUACAUGACCACAACAACUAUGUUUGUCAAAAUAUAUUUGAAAAGCAAUUACAUGAAUUUUUUAUGGAUUUUUCCUUCGAAUUCAUGUUAUACACAAGGCAGUGUUCAAUGCCUUCUCUGAAGACAUUGCAUGGCUUGAAAUGCACUAUUUGAUAAGACGCCAAGCAGAAAGUUUGAUAAUUGUGUGAGUUACCAUUAGCGAAUGUAUGCAGAAAGAUUGAUUAUUUCAGACAGCUUUGUUCCAGUUGCUUCACUGUUUCUACUUUCAGCAUACCAUGUAAUCCAAAUACAUGGUAAGAUAUUCCAAAUUGCGUAAAAUUCAGAACAAUUUCACAUUUCUGCUGUUUAAUGUCUAAAAUCAGGAAAAAGCCCAUUCUGCAUUAACUCAAUUGAUGUGAAACAUUGUGUAUAUUGAAAUGCUUGCUCGAGAGGAACAACUGGCCGCAGGAACUACAAAAUUGAUCCUUUCAAUAGAUUAAACACUCAGAUGCUACAUAAGAACUUGCGUAUUCAAGGACAAUAUGUUUAAGUUGUGCACUGAAUCUCUUCCUUUCUCUAAAGAACCAGCUUUCCUUUUUAAGUUGUGCACUAAGUCGAGGGAGAUGUGUGCUCCUGAAGUUUCGCCUCCUGCCACCUUAAAUAUGACUGCUGUAAUUUCCAUGGAACCUGUCCUCAAAAGACUAUUAUAUUUGGAACUUUAAUGUUGCAUGAUAUCGCUUUAGUAAGGAGCAACAUUCAAAUUUAUAGUAUUGGAAACAGAAAAAGAGUGAUUGAUGAGAAUCUGAAGUGGCUGACUUCAGAGAGGGUGAAAGUGGAGUGGCCUAAGUAACCGAUCCAACAAUCUUCUGAGUAAUAAUAAACGGUCGAUUGAAAUCAAGGAUAUUUUGGACUUCCCAUUGAGAGAAGGCUGAAACUAGCAAAUUAUGAGGAGGAUCCUGCAAAUGUAGACUUUUCCGGAGUUAUUUCCCUUCUGACCAUUGUUCACUGUUUUUUGAUCAUCAAUGGACCCAAAACUCGAAGGGGUAACAUCAUCUUCUUCUUCCUUGUCUUCCUCCUUUUCAGUUUCUGAUUAAGUUUUCUUUAAUGGGCUUGCUUCUUCAAAUAUAAUAUCGAGGAAAUUACAUAAAACCAAGUACUUAAACUUUCAAAUUCAAAAUUCAGAGGUGAAGUUUAUUUAUACAAAAAUCAGGCAUGAAUUUAACCACCCACCCCACUACAAAACCUAAUCCCCAUCCCCAUCUCGAUUCUCUUCUCCCCAUUCUCUCCUCUCUCUCAACAACAAUGGCGGCACCGACAAGCCUAUUAGCACCUUGCGGCUGCGCUGUGCAACAAUCCUCUCACACGAAGAUUUGCUGUCUAGAGAAGAAUCAUCGCCAAGAAGAUGUCCUACUCAAAGAGAAGACGUAGUCAGAGAUACGCCACAUUGAUCGCCUUUGAGCGUCACUGUGAGCACCUUUGCAUGGUGGUGCUCACAAUGGGUUUCUCAAGCCGGCAUUGCUUCAACGACUUCUAUGCAGCGUGGAUGUAGGUUGUGUUGGUGACGUUGUGAGGUGAUGGCAUGGUGAUGGUGGUGCGGUGGAUCUAGGUAGGAUGGCCGUGGUGGUAAUAGUAAUGGUUGUGCUCAUGUUGGCAGUAGUGAUUUGGGUAGUGUCGGUGAGGUUAGAAGGUGGUGUAUUAUAUUAUUGGGUGUGUUUGAAGGUGGUUCUGACUGUGAUCAUUGACUUGUGUCUUGAUGACAAUUCUUAAAAGUUCUUGUAAUCGUAAUUGUAACGACAUGAUUUUUAUGUCCAAGUAGUUAACUUAUGUGUUGUUCACUUUGGAAGAGCCUGAGCGGGUAAUGAAUAAAUUGAGUAGAUAAAAAUUAGUAUUUAGCGCCUUUAGAGCUCUAUAGAAUUAGUUCAUCUCUCUCUCUC
This 3543-nucleotide transfer RNA is filed under the name Olea europaea subsp. europaea. The stretch from base 365 to 437 matches the Rfam family "tRNA". Lineage: Eukaryota; Viridiplantae; Streptophyta; Magnoliopsida; Lamiales; Oleaceae. The record is from RNAcentral.